Molecule: ribosomal RNA, 465 nt
Filed under: Vreelandella stevensii
Lineage: Bacteria; Pseudomonadati; Pseudomonadota; Gammaproteobacteria; Oceanospirillales; Halomonadaceae
Description: partial 16S ribosomal RNA
Rfam family: Bacterial small subunit ribosomal RNA
Source: RNAcentral
CCUACGGGGGGCAGCAGUGGGGAAUAUUGGACAAUGGGGGCAACCCUGAUCCAGCCAUGCCGCGUGUGUGAAGAAGGCCCUCGGGUUGUAAAGCACUUUCAGUGAGGAAGAACGCCUGGUGGUUAAUACCCAUCAGGAAAGACAUCACUCACAGAAGAAGCACCGGCUAACUCCGUGCCAGCAGCCGCGGUAAUACGGAGGGUGCGAGCGUUAAUCGGAAUUACUGGGCGUAAAGCGCGCGUAGGUGGCUUGAUAAGCCGGUUGUGAAAGCCCCGGGCUCAACCUGGGAACGGCAUCCGGAACUGUCAAGCUAGAGUGUCGGAGAGGAAGGUAGAAUUGCCGGUGUAGCGGUGAAAUGCGUAGAGAUCGGGAGGAAUACCAGUGGCGAAGGCGGCCUUCUGGACUGACACUGACACUGAGGUGCGAAAGCGUGGGUAGCAAACAGGAUUAGAUACCCUGGUAGUC